Humulus lupulus (European hop) is the source of this 641-nucleotide long non-coding RNA. RefSeq lists it as uncharacterized. The record is from RefSeq and is a predicted model, not a curated record. The transcript has 3 exons. NCBI's taxonomy places the organism in Eukaryota, Viridiplantae, Streptophyta, Magnoliopsida, Rosales, Cannabaceae.
UUUUCGAAAAUUUGGGGGUUCAAAAUUUUUCAGCACACAAAAUAAAAAUCUCACAUUUGGGGAUUAAAUUAGGUUUGGCCUAUAUAGGUUUCGGCAGGCUUGUUGGAGGGUGGCUGCUGGUGGUGAACGGAGACGGAGGAGGCGAGGCGAGUAGCAAGCGUCGGCCCUUGGGACUGGUUCUCCGGCAUCGUGGGUUCUCGGCUCCAGCAUAUCCGGUUGCGGUGGCGGCGCUGGUUCUGGGCUGGGUUUGAAAUCGACAGGCGGCGGCGGCGGCGGCGGCAAGUGUUCUUGGUGCUAGGCGAUCUCAGCCACCACGACAUGUGUUCUCGGUUCCAGGCUUUUGGGCCAUAGCAAUAUCUAAUGGAGCAAAAAAGUGGUCUGUAUAAAGGAAGUUGAAGAGCUAUGGAAGAAGGUCUAUAUUGAGAUCUUUUCUUUGGCGCAAUACUAGACAACAUUAACAGUUGAAGUUUUUAGAAUAAAAACUAUAUUUCACUAACAUUGUAUACAUUUCUUGUUUAAUAUUUGGUGAUGAUAAAAUUUGAUUGUAGUAUAAACUAUCUUGUAAUAUGAUUUUGUAAGCCGAGUAGACUAAAUACUGAAAUGAUAUUUUUGAGUAAUUAAUAAAAAAUUAUUUUGUUGUA